GGGUGCUCGAGCGGCGAACGGGUGAGUAACACGUGAGUAACCUGCCCUUGACUUUGGGAUAACUUCAGGAAACUGGGGCUAAUACCGGAUAGGAGCUCCUGCUGCAUGGUGGGGGUUGGAAAGUUUCGGCGGUUGGGGAUGGACUCGCGGCUUAUCAGCUUGUUGGUGGGGUAGUGGCUUACCAAGGCUUUGACGGGUAGCCGGCCUGAGAGGGUGACCGGCCACAUUGGGACUGAGAUACGGCCCAG
Molecule: ribosomal RNA, 248 nt
Filed under: uncultured Actinomycetales bacterium
Lineage: Bacteria; Bacillati; Actinomycetota; Actinomycetes; Actinomycetales
Description: partial 16S ribosomal RNA
Rfam family: Bacterial small subunit ribosomal RNA
Source: RNAcentral